Molecule: long non-coding RNA, 789 nt
Organism: Dreissena polymorpha
Lineage: Eukaryota; Metazoa; Mollusca; Bivalvia; Myida; Dreissenidae
Exons: 4
Source: RefSeq, a predicted model, not a curated record
CAAAUGCGGAUUUCCGGGACUGACGUGUUCUUAACUGAUUUGUGAAAUACCACCAACACAGUCAGUUUUCAAGGCUCAAGAUUACACGGAAUUGAGCACCCGGGCCAGACUGACACUUUCCGGAGCCUGUCCGAGACGGAACUCGAGCCGAGGUCCAGGCGGUGUCGAAAUGGGUCUAUAGCUCUGCCUGAACUGUCGUCCAAUUGGUUUACAAGUCCGGCUGAAGUGACAGGCCAUCGAAAACUGUACAGCAUGACUGAUUCGGAGACGGCCAUCAACACUCGCCCAGUCGUGUCGUGAGGAUCGGUGUCUUUGCAGAUUACACGAAAUUGAGCAUCCGGGCCAGACUAACACUUUCCGGAGCCUGUCCGAGACGGAACUCGAGCCGAGGAAUCAUAGGUCCAGGUGUGACAAAAUACUUAAAGCUCAUGUCUGACGAUGACAUUUUUUAGUCAGGAAGUCAAGUGUGUUGUUUUUCCAUGCAAGCAAGCCCUUUUGUUGGGUCAAAUGACAUCAGAAAUGCUGCUUCUACAUGGAUUUUAGCUAAAAUGUGCCAAUUUUUUUUUUUAAGUUUGUUCGAAUCAUUUGAUGCACAAAUAUUGACAUUGAUGAUUUUUUUCACUUAUAAAGUCAUAUGUUAUACCAGCUUUGCCUAUUAGAAUCGAAAGUGAUGCCUUGUAUGGAGUCUUAGUGCUGAAUGUAUGAUGAAACCAGAUUUGGCUUUUCUACCUUAAUUCUUGACGAGAAACGCUGUUACGCAUGGCGCUUUCAAUGGCAACUUUUAUGAAU